UCGACCCUACGGGGGGCAGCAGUGGGGAAUAUUGCACAAUGGGGGAAACCCUGAUGCAGCAACGCCGCGUGAGUGAAGAAGUAUUUCGGUAUGUAAAGCUCUAUCAGCAGGGAAGAAAAUGACAGUACCUGACUAAGAAGCCCCGGCUAACUACGUGCCAGCAGCCGCGGUAAUACGUAGGGGGCAAGCGUUAUCCGGAUUUACUGGGUGUAAAGGGGGCGCAGACGGCGAUGCAAGCCAGGAGUGAAAGCCCACGGCCCAACCGUGGGACUGCUCUGGAAACUGUGCGGCUUGA
Molecule: ribosomal RNA, 295 nt
Filed under: uncultured bacterium
Lineage: Bacteria
Description: partial 16S ribosomal RNA
Rfam family: Bacterial small subunit ribosomal RNA
Source: RNAcentral